CUUUGAAUCAAUUCACAACCCAACAGAUACAAAUCUGAUUCUAACCAAUUCAAUUCAAUUAAAGACCACCAGAGCCUUUUAAGCGUUUCAAUAUGAAAUUCUUCUUGAUGACACUUUUCGUUUGCUUUGCUAUCGUAUUAGCAAUGGCUGCAGCUGCUCCAUCCGAAGAAGGUAUUUUUGGUGAUUUACCAGACAGUGAUAUUGCCAACCCACAAGAGCCCAGUGAAUCACUUAAAUUGUUGCUGUUGAAGAAACUUAAGCUCAAGUUAUUGAGGGGUUGAUCUGUUUAGAGAUUGAUUAUGACUGAACUACACACCAAAAUGUACUAUUUUUAAGUUAUUUUUAUUGAAUAAAACAUAUUUAAGAAAAAAUCAUAUU
This is a long non-coding RNA of Eupeodes corollae, 378 nucleotides long. RefSeq lists it as uncharacterized. The transcript is spliced from 2 exons. NCBI's taxonomy places the organism in Eukaryota, Metazoa, Arthropoda, Insecta, Diptera, Syrphidae. The record is from RefSeq and is a predicted model, not a curated record.